GGAUAUAGUUUAAUGGUAAAAUACUGGUCUCCAAAACCGUAGAUGUUGGUUCGAUUCCUACUAUCCC
Molecule: transfer RNA, 67 nt
Filed under: bovine gut metagenome
Rfam family: tRNA
About the family: Transfer RNA (tRNA) molecules are approximately 80 nucleotides in length.
Source: RNAcentral